This 173-nucleotide ribosomal RNA is filed under the name uncultured bacterium. Its description in RNAcentral is "partial 16S ribosomal RNA". It matches the Rfam family "Bacterial small subunit ribosomal RNA", at positions 50 to 210 of the family's 1533-position model. The record is from RNAcentral.
CGGGUGCAUACACAUGCACUCGAACGAUGACCCGGAUGCUUGCACCGGUGAUUAGUGGCGAACGGGUGAGAUAACACGUGAGUAACCUGCCCUUGCACUCUGGGAUAAUGCCUGGGAAACUGGGUCUAAUACCGGAUAUGACUCCUCAUCGCAUGGUGGGGGGUGGAAAGCUU